GUGGGGAAUUUUGGACAAUGGGCGCAAGCCUGAUCCAGCAAUGCCGCGUGCAGGAAGAAGGCCUUCGGGUUGUAAACUGCUUUUGUACGGAACGAAACGGUCUUGGUUAAUACCUGAGGCUGAUGACGGUACCGUAAGAAUAAGCACCGGCUAACUACGUGCCAGCAGCCGCGGUAAUACGUAGGGUGCAAGCGUUAAUCGGAAUUACUGGGCGUAAAGCGUGCGCAGGCGGUUAUGUAAGACAGAGGUGAAAUCCCCGGGCUCAACCUGGGAAUGGCGCUUGUGACUGCAAAGCUGGAGUGCGGCAGAGGGGGAUGGAAUUCCGCGUGUAGCAGUGAAAUGCGUAGAUAUGCGGAGGAACACCGAUGGCGAAGGCAAUCCCCUGGGCCUGCACUGACGCUCAUGCACGAAAGCGUGGGGAGCAAACAGGAUUAGAAACCCCUGUAGUCC
Molecule: ribosomal RNA, 450 nt
Filed under: uncultured bacterium
Lineage: Bacteria
Description: bacterial SSU rRNA
Rfam family: Bacterial small subunit ribosomal RNA
Source: RNAcentral